CAUUCUCAUUUGAAUGUACAUUUUUAAUGUUUUAGUAUUCAAAUUCAAAAGUACAGCUCUCCAAAAUGAAACAAAGGAUAUGGGAUAAACGCGAUGUUUGCUUAUAUUGUUACGAGAAUGUAACAAAUUUCAGUCGUCAUAUAUUGAAAAGACAUAUGUCUGAAGUGUCAAUUCAGCAGCUUGAAAAAAUGCCCAAAGGAAGUAUCGAGCGAAAACAAUUCAUAGCUAUGCUCAGAAAAAAAGGAAAUUUUUUAUCACCUGCACAAAACGAAAUCAAAGUUGUUAAAAAACCUGUUAAGGAAGUGGAUCCAUCAAACAUUCUUCCUUGCGUAUACUGCAAAGGUUUUUACAUGAAAAGAUAUCUAAAACGUCAUGUGAAAACAUGUCUACAACGACCUACCACCAGUGGUGCUGAAGACUUUAGGACAGCGGAUGCUCAAAGUUACUUAGCAUUUCGAAGUGUUGAUCAAAAGUUUAUUGAUGAACUUAGAUUCAAAGAAGGCAUUUUAAAUAUGAGAUGCGAUAAUAUAGCUUUUAUCGCGAAAUCUGAUCCACUAAUUUUGUCCUUUGCUGCAUUUUAUGCAAAGCGCCAUAGGCAUAAUCAUUUGAAUAAAGUGACAAAAAAUAAAAUCCGAGAACUGGCGCGCUUGUGGAAAGAUAUGAAAAAAUAUAUUAACGAUAAAAACUUUUUUGCAGCUCUUAAGCCUGAAAAUUUUAAAUACUUCGUUUUAAGCACGCAAAAUAUAACCGGUUACAAUCACAACUCUCAAAAGUUUGAAAAAGCACCAUCACUAGCCCUCCACAUGGGAACUACGUUAAGAAAAGUUUGUGAAUUUGCGUUCUCAGAAAUUCAACAAAAAAAUCAUAUUUUUAUAUCAGGUUUGGACAUUUUAAAAAAGACAAAAGACAUAAAGGUGUUGAAAGAGUUGAUCAAAAAUAAUUGGAACGCAGAAGUAAGCAGUGUUGCAAAUCAAAAUCUAGUUGAAAAUCAGUGGAACAAGCCAACUAUUAUUCCUCUAACUUCGGAUAUUAAAAAACUCAAUGGCUAUGUUAAACUUAGGGCUGAACAAUGUGCCGACAAAUUAAAAAAACAAGAAGAUGACAAAAAAUCUUUCAAUGAUUUACAAAAAUGCUGCUUUACUUUGCUAAUUACUUUGAAUCGUAGACGAAUUGGCGAACUUGAGCGAUUGGAAUUAGAAAGUUACUUAAAGAAAAAUAAUGAUUUAAUAUCAGAAGAAUUUGAACAGAAAUUGACGGAGACAGAAAAAUUUCUUUUGAAAAAGUACAAGCGUAUUCGCAUUAGAGGCAAACGUCACAAACCCGUACCUGUUUUAAUUUCCAAGGAAGUACAGGAAUACAUAAAUUUAUUAUUGUUAGUACGAAAAAAUUUCGUACCUGAAAGUAAUGCUUUUUUAUUUGCAACAUUAAAAAAAAACAGCCCUUUAGACGGUUACGCUGCAUUAAGAUGGUUAGCUCAAUCAUCAGGUGCAGAGUAUCCUAAGGCAUUAACGUCAGGCAAAUUAAGAAAACACAUCGCGACAAUUUCACAAAUUUCUGACUUAUCCUCUUCCGAACUGGAACAGCUAUGUACAUUUCUAGGACACACUAUGACGACUCAUCAAGAUUUUUAUAGGUUGUCUCAAGAAACUUAUCAAACUGCAAAAUUAACAAAACUUUUGCUAAAAUCUCAAAACGAAUCAGUUGACGUAGACGAUAUGAAUCAGGAACUUGGCUCAGACGGUGAUAACGAUCAAAGCGAUGAUGACGAAGUGAUCAAUGUUGUACCAAGUACAAGUAAUGGUUCUGGUAACUAGCAUUUUUUUUAAUUUUUGUUUAAAAAUUUAUCGAAAGGUGAAGGUAUCGGCCAAAACUUGAAAGAAGAAAUAAUAACAAAUUCAAUAAAUGUUGAUAAACGGAGUGAACAGAAGUCAAACGGAAAAGGCAAAUCUAAAAAAGCGAGCCGUUAUAAUCUUGAUGAUUCAACUGAAAAUCUCAGUAAUGAAACAACAAAUCCGCAAGUGAUUGAAACUUCAAAGAAAAUUGUUCAUCCUAAAGUUAGAUGGACCAACGAGCAAAAGAAAGUGACAAAAGCGUAUUUUAAGCGCAACAUUCAGAUUCGAAAACCACCAACUGAGUCAGAAAUUGAGGAAUUUAGGAAGAAAUAUCCAAUCAUGGAAAAUAAGGAUUGGAAGAAAAUUAAAGUAUUUGUUUACAAUGAAUAUUCCAAAAAAUAAUAACUGUUUUGCUGUAAUAUGAAUAAUUUUUUGUUCUGUUUUCUAUUUUUUGCGUGCAACUAAGUUGGUUUAAGUUAAUUUUUUUAAUGAGUUUAUUGUGAGAGAGUUUGCUUUUAA
Long non-coding RNA from Tribolium castaneum (red flour beetle), 2351 nucleotides. RefSeq lists it as uncharacterized. The record is from RefSeq and is a predicted model, not a curated record. NCBI's taxonomy places the organism in Eukaryota, Metazoa, Arthropoda, Insecta, Coleoptera, Tenebrionidae. The transcript has 3 exons.